Molecule: ribosomal RNA, 1666 nt
Filed under: human metagenome
Description: bacterial LSU rRNA
Rfam family: Bacterial large subunit ribosomal RNA
Source: RNAcentral
AGUCGGGACCUAAGGCGAGGCCGACAGGCGUAGUCGAUGGACAACGGGUUGAUAUUCCCGUACCGGCGAAACAACGCCCGUGCCGGGGCACGCGAUGCUAAGCAUGCGAGAUUGUCUGUUGCCUUUCGGGGUGGCGGGUGGUUGAGUCUGUGACCCGAGUGUGUAGUAGGCAAGCUGCGGAGGGACGCAGGAAGGUAGCUCAUCCUCAGCGUUGGUUGUCUGAGGCUAAGUGUGUAGGGUGGGGUGUAGGUAAAUCCGCAUUCCGUGAUGCCUGAGACAUGAUGGGCCUGCACUGUUUUGGUGUGGGUUGAGUGAUCCUAUGCUGCCUAGAAAAGCUUCGUUAGCGAGUUGUUAGCCGCCCGUACCCGAAACCGACACAGGUGGAUAGGUAGAGUAUACCGAGGCGAUCGGGAUAAUCGUGGUGAAGGAACUCGGCAAAAUACCCCCGUAACUUCGGGAUAAGGGGGACCUGAUACGUGUUAAACCUUUGCGUUGAGAGCGUUGAGGGUCGCAGAGACCAGGCCCAAGCGACUGUUUACUAAAAACACAGGUCCGUGCCAACUCGUAAGAGGACGUAUACGGACUGACUCCUGCCCGGUGCUGGAAGGUUAAGGGGAACCGUCAGCCGCAUUUUGUGUGGUGAAGCGGUGAACUUAAGCCCCAGUAAACGGCGGUGGUAACUAUAACCAUCCUAAGGUAGCGAAAUUCCUUGUCGGGUAAGUUCCGACCUGCACGAAUGGAGUAACGAUUUGGGCGCUGUCUCCACCACGAACCCGGUGAAAUUGCAUUACGAGUAAAGAUGCUCGUUACGCGCAGCAGGACGGAAAGACCCCGGGACCUUUACUAUAGUUUGGUAUUGGUGAUCGGUGUGACUUGUGUAGGAUAGGUGGGAGACUGUGAAACCGGGACGCUAGUUCCGGUGGAGUCAUCGUUGAAAUACCACUCUGGUCACUCUGGUUAUCUAACCUAGGACCGUUAUCCGGUUCAGGGACAGUGCCUGAUGGGUAGUUUGACUGGGGCGGUCGCCUCCUAAAAGGUAACGGAGGCGCCCAAAGGUUCCCUCAGCCUGGUUGGCAAUCAGGUUACGAGUGUAAGUGCACAAGGGAGCUUGACUGCGAGACUGACGGGUCGAGCAGGGACGAAAGUCGGGACUAGUGAUCUUCUGGUAGCGAAUGGAAGCGCCAGGACUCAACGGAUAAAAGGUACCCCGGGGAUAACAGGCUGAUCUUGCCCGAGCGUCCAUAGCGACGGCAUGGUUUGGCACCUCGAUGUCGGCUCGUCGCAUCCUGGGGCUGGAGUCGGUCCCAAGGGUUGGGCUGUUCGCCCAUUAAAGCGGCACGCGAGCUGGGUUUAGAACGUCGUGAGACAGUUCGGUCCCUAUCCGCUGCGCGCGUAGGAGUCUUGAGAAGGGCUGUCCUUAGUACGAGAGGACCGGGACGGACCAACCUCUGGUGUGCCAGUUGUUCCGCCAGGAGCACGGCUGGUUGGCUACGUUGGGAAGUGAUAACCGCUGAAAGCAUCUAAGCGGGAAGCACGCUUCAAGAUGAGGACUCCCACACCAACAAGGUGGUAAGGCCCCCUGCAGACCACAGGGUCGAUAGGUCGGACGUGGAAGCACAGUAAUGUGUGAAGCUGACCGAUACUAAUAGGCCGAGGGCUUGCCACA